UGUUUCGUUCUUUAUGUGUUUCUCUUUAUCUUUUGUGUUUUAUUUUUAUUUUAUUUAUUUAUUUUGGGUUUGAGAAGCUUUUGAGUUUAUGGUGAUUGAUGACAGACCCUGAUGGAGAGAUUGCGAAGUUUGCUUUUUUAUUCUUAUUUUUAUUUUUUUUUCUUUUUGUUCCCAGCUGUUUCCAGAAUAUGUGUUGGUACAUAGAAUGUUGGACGACAAACUCCACCCGAUGACUUGGAUAUUGAUGGUUGGCUAGAUAUCAAUGACCUAGCCGACAUCUAUGCAAUUGGAUUGAACUGUUUUUCUUAGCACUGCUGAUGUUGAAGACAAUGACUUACUCUCACAAGGGUUUGGAGUGUAUUAAAAAUACCUUUUCAUAUCAAACCUCAGCUGUUGACAGCUUUUAAGUAAUGGCUUCCAAACAAAGAGGCAGCUGCAUAGGUGGAGGUUCCAAGUGGUCGACUCUCUUUCACUCUUUCUCAGGCAAAGCUUGCAUUUCUGAAAGAUUGUCAAUGAAGCUACAAAAUUCAGAUACCCAAGUGGAAACCAAUUUAACUGUGGAGGUGAAAACUUCACUUGUUUCAUUGCUUUGAAGCUUACUCACUUUGCAGUUCCUUGUAUAACAUCUUAGGCUUAACCAUAACAGUGCCCUAGGGUGUUGUAGGCCAUGGUGGACAUUACCACUCACAAUCUCCUGAAGCUUUUUUCUGUCAUGCUUCUGGUAUCAAAGUAAGUCUCAUCCUAAUUGAGAUAUUUUGCAUGAUAUUUAGGGUUUGAGUGAGUGGUGAUAAAUGCAUUUUCCCAUAAGUAAACAGCUCAACUAAUUGAAAUCAUGGGAUUUUACAUUUCAACAGUAACAUCUUACAAGUAUCCAGGUGCACAAAUGGUAUUGUUGUUAUUGCUUUUUUUUUUUUUUUGGUAUGAGAUUGGAAACUUGGUUUCUAUUAUUCAAUAGACUAGAUUACAUUCCAAGCCAAAUCUAAAUAGCAAUGCCUAAGUACUUGAGUGUAGCAUACUAUUAAUUACAUUUUUCAAAAACUUUCAUAAGAGCAACAAUUUUCUAGUAUUUUCUAGAGUUUGGGUCUUUACGACUGCUGAUAUACAUGUUCAACAUACUUGCUGACUUCUUUCCUGCCUUGGAAAAAAAAAAAAAAAAAACUGAUUUUUGAUUUACCCUGCACUACGUUUUGAAACCAAGCU
This is an RNA transcript of Rosa rugosa (rugosa rose), 1200 nucleotides long. RefSeq lists it as uncharacterized. Lineage: Eukaryota; Viridiplantae; Streptophyta; Magnoliopsida; Rosales; Rosaceae. The record is from RefSeq and is a predicted model, not a curated record. The transcript is spliced from 5 exons.